CAGCCCCACGCGCGCGGAGGUCGGUGCACGCGCGGAGGGACGGCGUGUUUUUCCCGUGGUCCCGGCCGUGUACGGGUUGCCGGCUCCUUGACGGAGCCGUAGCGGUUCAACAGCCGUGCGCCGGUGCUCGYGGGGCUGCAGCAGGAGGGUGCCGGCAGGCCCGUGUUGACAGAGGCUUGGCACCGAGCGCGGAAAAGCGAGUCCUCGCCCUGCCGGGCUCCCUGUGGCGGUUCCCCGUGGUUUUGCGGAGAGGUGAAGCGACUCGCCUGCAGCCGCCCGGCAAGCACGUGUUGCGCGGGAGCCGGUGUAGGCGCCCCGUGGGAGCAGCGAGCCCUGGCUCCGUCACGGGGCUCGGGGUUGGAGGCUCCCCGCUCUAUCGGGUCCCUUCCUCYGCCCUACCCUGGGGAACAGCGCCCACAAGCCUGGGGCUCGGGGCAUAACUUUCCCCUUCAAAAUUCUUAUUUCUUGUCCCCUCCUGGGCGCAACACCCCAGCUGCUUCCCUCUCGCCGGGAGGGUCCGAAUUGCCGCGGCGAGUGGUGCUCACAGGUUUCCAAAGGGUCUGGCUGUGUUUGUCCGGGGCAUCCUGGUGGAGAGGGACUUGCGAUGUGAAGUUUGCCGGUGGCUCCCUGGAGCGCCGUGCAUGGGUUUCCUCACCCUUGGAGGGCUCUCCUAAUGCCGCGGUGGUGCUGCUGCCAAGCAGCCCUCCGCUUCACUCCUAGUAUCAAGCCGGAAAGCUUUCAGCRUGUUUCUUCCCUGAAACCAGACUGUUUUGCAGAAAGCGCAACUUCAGAUGAUAAAUCAGACCGGUGUUCCUUGGAGUCGUAGCGGGUCAAGCAUCCCAGGUUUCCGUGCAGGCAGGUGCGGGAGCAAACUUGUCCUUACUGGGGUCUCCUGGUUUUCCUCCGUGCGUUUGAUAGCACUUUGUGCCUUGUUUUGUGGCAACUGCUCCAGAGUCAGGCACGUAUCAGUUCUUCACAGUUUUUGUUGCAAGUAUUGGCGUAUUCGGAUGUCUUUAUUCUUUGUUUAAAACCUCAGUUUUUGGAGUGCUCUGACUGUGGGAGAAUUCUGGUUUCCAUUGAAGAAGAAAAGAAUAUGAUCUCUGCCCUCCUGAUUUUGAGUAAAUCCCAUGUCUGCGACCCAGAGGCACCUUAAAGACUCAGGAAACAAGUGAAAGGCAGGCGAAGUGUGUUGCUUUUAAAAAGGAAAAGGCACGUUAUGAUCUGAGGGGAGACAGGUUCACGUUUGAAUCCAUGGGUUUGGCGAUGCGGGGCUUUCUCUGUUGUUUGGCGUGGACUUUUCCUUGCGGCCGCAGCGGAUUAUAGCAGGUGUAGACUAGGAAGAAGCUAGUGAAAAGCCACAGAAGUGAGCUUGUGUGCAACAGUGCGUUGGACUGGGGCAGGACCUGGCGCCCCUUCUGCCCGCUCUUUGGGGAGAGUGGCUAGCCUACCUCCCUAAGCAUCCUGAGGGAUGCGGGAUCUGAGGAGGGGUGGACCAGAUCAGCCUGAAGGUCUGUUCAGUGUCCUGCGGCUGGCAGGGGGACGCUGCCGGCUGCCGCAGAGGUUGUCCUCCGUGGGUGUCUCCAGGAAAGCCUGCCUGCGAAGCAGCAUUUUCCACCAGACCCUUCUCGCUCUGGCUCUGCCGCCAGGAACCUUUCAGCUCCUUUUGGAGGCAUUUUGAAUCUUGUCCAGCAUCGCCCUGGUUUGUGCCAGAGCUCUGCAC
This 1720-nucleotide long non-coding RNA is filed under the name Apteryx owenii (little spotted kiwi). RNAcentral describes it as "lncRNA (ENSAOWG00000005277.1)". Lineage: Eukaryota; Metazoa; Chordata; Aves; Apterygiformes; Apterygidae. The record is from RNAcentral.